RNAcentral lists this ribosomal RNA (110 nucleotides) under Chinchilla lanigera (long-tailed chinchilla). The record is from RNAcentral. Lineage: Eukaryota; Metazoa; Chordata; Mammalia; Rodentia; Chinchillidae.
GUCUACAGCCAUACCACCCUGAACCCGCCCAAUCUCGUCUGAUCUUGGAAGCUAAGCAUGGUCGGGCCUGGUUAGUACUUGGAUGGGAGAACGAACUGGCUCCCUUGUCA